This 253-nucleotide ribosomal RNA is filed under the name uncultured bacterium. RNAcentral describes it as "partial 16S ribosomal RNA". It matches the Rfam family "Bacterial small subunit ribosomal RNA", at positions 524 to 776 of the family's 1533-position model. The record is from RNAcentral.
CACGUAGGGUGCGAGCGUUGUCCGGAAUUAUUGGGCGUAAAGAGCUCGUAGGCGGUCUGUCGCGUCUGCUGUGAAAACUCGGGGCUUAACCCCGGGCCUGCAGUGGGUACGGGCAGACUAGAGUGCGGUAGGGGAGACUGGAAUUCCUGGUGUAGCGGUGAAAUGCGCAGAUAUCAGGAGGAACACCGGUGGCGAAGGCGGGUCUCUGGGCCGUAACUGACGCUGAGGAGCGAAAGCGUGGGGAGCGAACAGG